This 301-nucleotide ribosomal RNA is filed under the name uncultured bacterium. RNAcentral's name for it is "partial 16S ribosomal RNA". It matches the Rfam family "Bacterial small subunit ribosomal RNA", at positions 509 to 809 of the family's 1533-position model. The record is from RNAcentral.
CAGUAGCCGCGGGAAUACAGAGGGUGCGAGCGUUAAUCGGAUUUACUGGGCGUAAAGCGUGCGUAGGCGGCUUUUUAAGUCGGAUGUGAAAUCCCUGAGCUUAACUUAGGAAUUGCAUUCGAUACUGGGAAGCUAGAGUAUGGGAGAGGAUGGUAGAAUUCCAGGUGUAGCGGUGAAAUGCGUAGAGAUCUGGAGGAAUACCGAUGGCGAAGGCAGCCAUCUGGCCUAAUACUGACGCUGAGGUACGAAAGCAUGGGGAGCAAACAGGAUUAGAUACCCCAGUAGUCCCUGUCUCUUAUCA